Molecule: long non-coding RNA, 1146 nt
Filed under: Carica papaya (papaya)
Lineage: Eukaryota; Viridiplantae; Streptophyta; Magnoliopsida; Brassicales; Caricaceae
Description: long non-coding RNA (CPAP_LNC002836)
Source: RNAcentral
GACCCCACAGCAUGAUUUCAUGUUUGUCGGGCCAGCACGGCCCGCUGGCCUACUGCACAGGGCAACUGGCCCAGGAAAAACAUGGCCGUCGUGCAGUGGCACGCUGCAUAUGUUCCCCUUUUUGGUAUCUGCAGAUGCUCAAAGUUCCUCUAUACUCUCCGGCUCAACACUGCAGAAAUGCUUUAUGCCAGAGAUGGUUCCAGGCUGUUUUGGGUGCCCGAAAAGCACCUUCUCUGCGAACCAGCAUGGCAAGACCAUGUGUUGCUGUUGCAGUGCCACUUUUGGUGCCGAUGUUCUUGACGGAAACAAAUGAGCUUCCGUCAUUAACCCCCGUUCCCAUUUUCUGUUUUCAAAACAUCAUUACUUCAUUCUAUUACAAUUGAACAUCACAAUUCCACAUUAAAAUCACUUAAAAAUAAUUCAUAUAAUUAUCAAAUACAAUGAUGAACUCAGUCAUCCUUUCCAUUUAAAACACCACUUUAUUUUACAUUUUAAAGAGAAUUACCACAUGAAAUUCUAUCUAUAAAUGACAUAUUUGUAUCAGCUAGAAUAUCACCCAUCUUACCUCAAAUAAAUAGUAGAAACAAGCUGGAAAAACACAAGGAAAGGUUGGGUUGAAGGCUUGAAGAACAAUUCUGUAAUUGUUGCAGAAAUUGGAAUUAAUUGCUGGUUUUUUUUCAGGAAUGUUAAACUCGUUUAAUCUACUCCUAAUAGACUACUAACAUCCUAACAGUUUACUAACAAGGUAGGAUUAGAAAAUGAAUGAAAUUUGGAAAUAAACAGAAGCAAAGAUCAUAACCUUACUUGCACAGUGGUGACAGCAAGUGUAAGAACAACAAUUCAGUGAAGUUACUGCAAUUUUGGGUUCAAGAAUUUGAAUAGAAGAUGGUUAAGUGUUCCGGUACCAAAAGGAAACUAUUUUAGAAGACGAAGACUCACCUAGAAUAGGACAGACGGAAAAUCUCUUCCUUAUUUACACCAGAUUUUCCUCUUGGGACCAAUUAUAUUCACGCUCUGUUUUUACAUUUUCACUCCACUUGCACUAUUUGUUAUCUCUAUUUUGUUGAGGUUUUGAUUUCAAAUGAAAUAAAAGAGAAGGAGACAAAGAAGAAGCUGAUUUAAAGGGAAUUGAUGGCCAAAUCUUGG